GAUGAACGCUGGCGGCGUGCCUAACACAUGCAAGUCGAGCGGACAGAUGCGGAGCUUGCUCCUCUGACGUUAGCGGCGGGCGUGAGAGUAACGCGUGGAUAACCUACUUAUAUUUCGGGGAAAAUUUCGGGAAAGGGGAUCAAACCCGGUAGAAUAUAUUGAUCCGCAUGGUUCAAUGGAGAAUGACGGCUUUGGUGUAAGUAAUAGAGGGAUCCGCGCUGGAUUAGCUGGUUGGUAAGCUAACGGCUUUCCAAGGCAACGAUGCGUAGCCGAGCUGAGAGGGUGAUCGGCCACCCUGGAACUGAGACACGGUCAAGACUCCUAAGGGAGGCAGCAGUAGGGAAUGUUCGGCAAUGGGCGGGAGCCUGACGCAGCAACGCCGCGUGUGUGAUGAAGAUCUUCGGAUCGUAAAACUCUCUUAUUGGGUAAAAACAGAUGUGUAAGUAACUAUAGACGUCUUGACGGUACCUAGUCAAAAAGCACCGGCUAACUACGUG
This 497-nucleotide ribosomal RNA is filed under the name uncultured bacterium. Its description in RNAcentral is "partial 16S ribosomal RNA". It matches the Rfam family "Bacterial small subunit ribosomal RNA", at positions 28 to 507 of the family's 1533-position model. The record is from RNAcentral.